Molecule: small nuclear RNA, 107 nt
Organism: Otolemur garnettii (small-eared galago)
Lineage: Eukaryota; Metazoa; Chordata; Mammalia; Primates; Galagidae
Source: Ensembl
GUGCUUGCUUGGGCAGCACAUAUACUAAAGUUGGAACAAUACAGAGAAGAUUAGCAUGAACCCCGCGUAAGAAUGACACACAAAUUUGUGAAGCAUUCCAUAUUUUU